This 460-nucleotide ribosomal RNA is filed under the name uncultured bacterium. RNAcentral describes it as "partial 16S ribosomal RNA". It matches the Rfam family "Bacterial small subunit ribosomal RNA", at positions 338 to 795 of the family's 1533-position model. The record is from RNAcentral.
CCUACGGGAGGCAGCAGUGAGGAAUAUUGGUCAAUGGGCGCGAGCCUGAACCAGCCAAGUCGCGUGAAGGAUGACUGCCCUACGGGUUGUAAACUUCUUUUAUAAAGGAAUAAAGUGAGGCACGUGUGCCUUUUUGUAUGUACUUUAUGAAUAAGGAUCGGCUAACUCGGUGCCAGCAGCCGCGGUAAUACGGAGGAUCCGAGCGUUGUCCGGAUUUUUUGGGUUUAAGGGGAGCGUAGAUGGGUUGUUAAGUCAGUUGUGAAAAUUUGCGGCUCAACCGUCAAAUUGCAAUUGAUACUGGUAGUCUUGAGUACAGUUGAGGAAAGUGGAAUUCGUAGUGUAGCGGUGAAAUGCUUAGAUAUCACGAAGAACUCCGAUUGCGAAGGCAGCUUACUAAACUGCCACUGACAUUGAUGCUCGAAAGUGUGGGUAUCAAACAGGAUUAGAUACCCUUGUAGUC